Molecule: ribosomal RNA, 1325 nt
Filed under: metagenome
Description: bacterial LSU rRNA
Rfam family: Bacterial large subunit ribosomal RNA
Source: RNAcentral
AGUGGAUGGGGAGCAACCUAGUUGUGCGUGUGUAAAGGUAGUGCCAAGAAAAGCGGUGAUCAUGAUGAAAAUCAAUUCCCGGUACCCGAAACCGACACAGGUGGGCAAGUAGAGAAUACUAAGGGGCGCGAGGUAACUCUCUCCAAGGAACUCGGCAAAAUGACCCCGUAACUUAGGGAGAAGGGGUGCCACCGAGAGGUGGUCGCAGUGAAGAGGCCCAGGCGACUGUUUAGCAAAAACAUAGGUCUCUGCAAACUCGAAAGAGGAGGUAUAGGGGCUGACGCCUGCCCAGUGCCGGAAGGUUAAAGAAGUUGGUCAGUCUUAGGAUGAAGCUAGCGACUGAAGCCCCGGUGAACGGCGGCCGUAACUAUAACGGUCCUAAGGUAGCGAAAUUCCUUGUCGGGUAAGUUCCGACCCGCACGAAAGGCGUAACGAUCUGGGCGCUGUCUCGGAGAGAGGCUCGGCGAAAUAGGAUUGUCUGUGAAGAUACGGACUACCUGCAUUUGGACAGAAAGACCCUAUGAAGCUUUACUAUAGCUUGGAAUUGUGUUCGGGCUUCCUGUGCGCAGGAUAGGUGGGAGGCGUAGAAGGUAUUCUUGUGGGGAUACUGGAGCCAACGGUGAGAUACCACUCUCAGGAGGCUAGAAUUCUAACUUAAUUAAGGACAGUUUCAGGUGGGUAGUUUGACUGGGGCGGUCGCCUCCAAAAAGGUAACGGAGGCGUACAAAGGUUCCCUCAGACUGGUUGGAAAUCAGUCGAAGAGUGCAAAGGCAGAAGGGUGCUUGACUGCGAGAAGUACAGUUCGAGCAGGGUGGAAACACGGUCUUAGUGAUCCGACGGUGCUGUGUGGAAGGGCCGUCGUUCAACGGAUAAAAGUUACUCUAGGAUAACAGGCUGAUCUCCCCCAAGAGUUCACAUCGACGGGGAGGUUUGGCACCUCCAUGUCGGCUCAUCGCAACCUGGGGCGGAAGUACGUCCCAAGGGUUGGGCUGUUCGCCCAUUAAAGCGGUACGUGAGCUGGGUUCAGAACGUCGUGAGACAGUUCGGUCCAUAUCCGAUGUAGGCGUGAGAAUAUUGAGAGGAGCCUUCCUUAGUACGAGAGGACCGGGAAGGACGCACCGCUGGUGUACCUGUUAUGAUGCCAAUUGUAAACGCAGGGUAGCCAAGUGCGGAGAGGAUAACCGCUGAAAGCAUCUAAGUGGGAAGCCCACCUCAAGAUGAGUAUUCUGGUGUAAGGUCACGGGAAGACGACCCGUAAAUAGGCACGAGGCGGAAGUGCAGAGAUGUAUGAAGCCGAAGUGUACUAAUAGACCGUCGGCUUGACC